RNAcentral lists this ribosomal RNA (445 nucleotides) under uncultured bacterium. RNAcentral describes it as "partial 16S ribosomal RNA". It matches the Rfam family "Bacterial small subunit ribosomal RNA", at positions 354 to 796 of the family's 1533-position model. The record is from RNAcentral.
GUGAGGAAUAUUGGUCAAUGGGCGAGAGCCUGAACCAGCCAAGUCGCGUGAAGGAUGAAGGUUUUAUGAAUUGUAAACUUCUUUUGCAGGGGAAUAAAGUACGGUACGUGUACCGUUUUGUAUGUACUCUGCGAAUAAGGAUCGGCUAACUCCGUGCCAGCAGCCGCGGUAAUACGGAGGAUCCAAGCGUUAUCCGGAUUUAUUGGGUUUAAAGGGUGCGCAGGCGGGUUGAUAAGUCAGCGGUGAAAGUUUGCAGCUUAACUGUAAAAUUGCCGUUGAAACUGUCGAUCUUGAGUGCAAAUGAGGUAAGCGGAAUGUGUUGUGUAGCGGUGAAAUGCUUAGAUAUAACACAGAACUCCGAUUGCGAAGGCAGCUUACUAAGCUACAACUGACACUGAAGCACGAAAGCGUGGGGAUCAAACAGGAUUAGAAACCCCGGUAGUCC